RNAcentral lists this ribosomal RNA (429 nucleotides) under Acidobacteriota bacterium. Its description in RNAcentral is "Acidobacteria bacterium partial 16S ribosomal RNA". It matches the Rfam family "Bacterial small subunit ribosomal RNA", at positions 355 to 776 of the family's 1533-position model. The record is from RNAcentral. Lineage: Bacteria; Pseudomonadati; Acidobacteriota.
UGGGGAAUUUUGGACAAUGGGGGAAACCCUGAUCCAGCCAUCCCGCGUGUGCGAUGAAGGCCUUCGGGUUGUAAAGCACUUUUGGCAGGAAAGAAACGUCAUGGGUUAAUACCCCGUGAAACUGACGGUACCUGCAGAAUAAGCACCGGCUAACUACGUGCCAGCAGCCGCGGUAAUACGUAGGGUGCAAGCGUUAAUCGGAAUUACUGGGCGUAAAGCGUGCGCAGGCGGUUCGGAAAGAAAGAUGUGAAAUCCCAGAGCUCAACUUUGGAACUGGAUUGUUAACUAACGGGCUAGAGUGUGUCAGAGGGAGGUGGAAUUCCGCGUGUAGCAGUGAAAUGCGUAGAUAUGCGGAGGAACACCGAUGGCGAAGGCAGCCUCCUGGGAUAACACUGACGAUCAUGAAAGAAAGCGUGGGGAGCAAACAGG